UCAUCAUCUUGGUCUUCUAUGUUGGAAAUUAUCAUUAUUACAACUUCUAGUUAUCAUCAUCUCCUUGAGGGCAAUGUGAUGGGACGAGCCAGUUUCUUAUUAGUUAAUCUCACAUCAUCAAGUAAAGGAAAAGGUAACAAAGUGAGCGGUGGUGGUAAUGUUUAGAUGUCUGUGCAUGUGGAUCCAAAGGGAUAAUACUAAUGAAUAGAGUAUGAGGACAAGACUGAUUUCUUCUUGCACAUCCCUGUAAAAUUGGCGGCGUUUGUUUCUGACAAUCUCAUUUACACUCUUGGACCAGUUUAACCUCCACCCCUUGAUAGUAUUUGAUGCUAAUCAUUUCAGAAAAUUCAAUACAAUCACAACAAUCAAAAGGGAAAAGAUCAGCAAACCAAUUCAACAAUGAAAUAUCCAAGUUACAUAAAAAAAAACAACUCACACAUCGAGCGGGAGACAUUAAAUGCUGAUUAUCAACAUUCAUAUAAAUGGACGUGUUAUCAUUGGGAUUUUUUUCUCUCCACCUCUCAUUCUGCACACUUAUUAAUUCCUGAAUGUUUUUCGGCAAUUGAUAACCUUGAUUAUUGCAAUGGAUAUCGUUUAAUACUGCAAAUAUAUUUAUGCAUUUGAUUGUUAACAAUCAAACAAAAGGAGUUGUAUUAGUUUCCAUUGCAUUUUGACGCUUGAAAGAGUUGAUAACAUUUACAAAACAAAGCAUUAAAUGGUUUCACUGGGUUAGUAUUUUUUUUAUUACAGCAAAAGGGUUACAUAAAUUGAGGAGGAUGAAAAAAGGAUGCGGAUGAGGAGGAGAGCCAAGGAUUUAGGAUGAUGAUGGGGAUAAAGGUGAUUGAAUUGAUUCAAAUAAUUUGCAAUUAUGUUAUUACAAUCAUGAUGCUUUCUUGAUUCUUAGGUUAAAUCAAAGUGGAUCCAAAUAUAUUAUAUGUAUGGAAAAGACAAAGAAGAUAAAAAAAACUUAAACAGUUAUGAGCCAAGUGAUGGUAAAACCGAGAGAGAUGGAGGAUAAGGAUGAUAAUGAUGAGUAUGAAGAUGAUGAUGAUUAUGGAGGAAAAGUGUAUAUGCAAAAUGAAAAAAAAAGGUAAGUGACAUAAAGUGUGUUUGCAUACCAUUAGAUUUAUAUACAGUUACUUAUGAUAGUUUAUGAGUAUUUUUUGUACUUUACGAGUUUGUGUUGUUUUUAUCAACUAAACAGAA
Molecule: long non-coding RNA, 1206 nt
Organism: Panonychus citri (citrus red mite)
Lineage: Eukaryota; Metazoa; Arthropoda; Arachnida; Trombidiformes; Tetranychidae
Exons: 3
Source: RefSeq, a predicted model, not a curated record